AGCGACAAGAGGCAUCGAACGACACCGCCCAACGCGAACCGCUCCUCUUCCUCUUCGUUCCGCCCUUGCUCGGGAUCGAUCUCUUGCUCGCCGUCGCCAGACUCCCGGCGCCCGUCCGCCCCGCCCGUCGCCCUCCUGCUCGGCGCUCUCCACUCCCUGCCGGCUACCACAAAGGAUUAGGCGAACGGCGGAUCAGCGGCACACCUAAAUUCCGGCACGAUCGCUGCAGCACCAUACAAGAACCAGCAGUUCAUCAAUAUUGUCCGUCAGGCACUACUGUCAGUGAGUGAAUUCACAAGAAGUGACCAGUUCACUGUUCACGCACGAUCUAAAAAAUGAAGCACAAGCAGCUGAUUUGAAACGUUUGUGGGAUAAAGCUGCAAAGAAACCGAAGAUAGUUACUGAGGUUGGAAGCCAAAACCAAGAUGAAAAUGUGAGCAAUCCUCCUUCCAAUAAAAAUGUGAGUUAAAUAGCAUUUUUAUUGUUCUUCCAAUACAAUUUAUUUACUUGAGAGCUGAGAGCGUUGUCACUACUAUGAAGUAUCAAUAAUUUGUAAUUCCGUUCUUGUUAUUCUGAAGCUACAUAUAUUAA
Long non-coding RNA from Lolium perenne, 591 nucleotides. RefSeq lists it as uncharacterized. The record is from RefSeq and is a predicted model, not a curated record. Lineage: Eukaryota; Viridiplantae; Streptophyta; Magnoliopsida; Poales; Poaceae.